AACGAACGCUGGCGGCGUGCUUAACACAUGCAAGUCGAACGGAAAGUCCGUGCUUUGGUGGGGUCCGCGAGUGGCGAAGGGGGGAGUAACACGUGGGUAACCUACCCUUGACUUUGGGGGAACUUCAGGAAAGUGGAGGUAUUACCGGCUAGGAUCUACUGCCGCUUGGUGGGGGUUGGAUAGUUUCGGCGGUUGGGAGUGUACACGCGGCUUAACAGGUUGAUGGUGGGGUAGUGGCUUAACAAGGCUUGGACGGGUAGCCAGACUGGGAGGGUGAGCAGGCACAUCGGCACUGAGAUACGGACCAGACUCCUACGGGAGGCAGCAGUGGGAAAUAUUGAACAAGGGGCGUAGGCCAGAUGCAGAAACGCCGCGGGCGGGAUGGCGGCCUUGGGGUUGUAGACCGCUUUCGCUUGUGACGGAGAGUGUAUGAAGGGAAUGGGUAAAGAAGGACCGGCUAAAUACGUG
RNAcentral lists this ribosomal RNA (468 nucleotides) under uncultured bacterium. Its description in RNAcentral is "partial 16S ribosomal RNA". It matches the Rfam family "Bacterial small subunit ribosomal RNA", at positions 28 to 507 of the family's 1533-position model. The record is from RNAcentral.